GACGAACGCUGGCGGCGUGCCUAAUACAUGCAAGUAGAACGCUGAGGUUUGGUGUUUACACUAGACUGAUGAGUUGCGAACGGGUGAGUAACGCGUAGGUAACCUGCCUCAUAGCGGGGGAUAACUAUUGGAAACGAUAGCUAAUACCGCAUAAGAGUAAUUAACACAUGUUAGUUAUUUAAAAGGAGCAAUUGCUUCACUGUGAGAUGGACCUGCGUUGUAUUAGCUAGUUGGUGAGGUAAAGGCUCACCAAGGCGACGAUACAUAGCCGACCUGAGAGGGUGAUCGGCCACACUGGGACUGAGACACGGCCCAGACUCCUACGGGAGGCAGCAGUAGGGAAUCUUCGGCAAUGGACGGAAGUCUGACCGAGCAACGCCGCGUGAGUGAAGAAGGUUUUCGGAUCGUAAAGCUCUGUUGUUAGAGAAGAACGUUGGUAGGAGUGGAAAAUCUACCAAGUGACGGUAACUAACCAGAAAGGGACGGCUAACUACGUGCCAGCAGCCGCGGUAAUACGUAGGUCCCGAGCGUUGUCCGGAUUUAUUGGGCGUAAAGCGAGCGCAGGCGGUUCUUUAAGUCUGAAGUUAAAGGCAGUGGCUUAACCAUUGUACGCUUUGGAAACUGGAGGACUUGAGUGCAGAAGGGGAGAGUGGAAUUCCAUGUGUAGCGGUGAAAUGCGUAGAUAUAUGGAGGAACACCGGUGGCGAAAGCGGCUCUCUGGUCUGUAACUGACGCUGAGGCUCGAAAGCGUGGGGGAGCAAACAGGG
This 767-nucleotide ribosomal RNA is filed under the name uncultured Streptococcus sp. RNAcentral describes it as "bacterial SSU rRNA". It matches the Rfam family "Bacterial small subunit ribosomal RNA", at positions 28 to 777 of the family's 1533-position model. Lineage: Bacteria; Bacillati; Bacillota; Bacilli; Lactobacillales; Streptococcaceae. The record is from RNAcentral.